This 196-nucleotide unclassified non-coding RNA is filed under the name uncultured Sebacina. RNAcentral's name for it is "sequence contains ITS2". Lineage: Eukaryota; Fungi; Basidiomycota; Agaricomycetes; Sebacinales; Sebacinaceae. The record is from RNAcentral.
GUACUCUCACACUCUCUGAUUCAGGGAGCGGUGGACUUGGGUGUUUGCUGCUUACCUUGCGGCUCACCUCAAAUGCGUCAGUGCAUCUCUUGGUUGGACAUAGUACGGCGUGAUAAGUAUCUUCGCCGGCACCUCGCAAGAGGGUGGCCGAUUGGGAGCUCUGUGCUUUCAAACCGUCUUCGGACACUUUCUGACA